CACACCGCCCGUCACACCAUGGGAGUUGGUUUGACCUGAAGACGGUGUGCUAACCCGCAAGGGAGGCAGCCGGCCACGGUCAGGUCAGCGACUGGGGUG
This 99-nucleotide ribosomal RNA is filed under the name uncultured bacterium. Its description in RNAcentral is "partial 16S ribosomal RNA". It matches the Rfam family "Bacterial small subunit ribosomal RNA", at positions 1386 to 1482 of the family's 1533-position model. The record is from RNAcentral.